AACUGAUACUACCUGCGGGAACCUGCGGAAGGAUCAUUAUAGAAUUGUUCGAAUCCAUACGGACAUUUUCUAAAAAUCCGUAUCCACACCGGUAGGGUUUUCUUUUCCUUUGGGGGAAGAAAAACCCUUACCGUAGGGUUCCUCACUCGCUUUUCGGAGUGGGUGUGGUUCCUGUCUGACCCAUGCCUAUAAUUUUAUUUUGUCUGAACCUGUUUAUAAUAAAUAAUAAACAAAAACAAC
This 240-nucleotide unclassified non-coding RNA is filed under the name soil metagenome. Its description in RNAcentral is "partial contains 5.8S ribosomal RNA, internal transcribed spacer 2, and large subunit ribosomal RNA". The record is from RNAcentral.